Long non-coding RNA from Passer domesticus (house sparrow), 4978 nucleotides. RefSeq lists it as uncharacterized. The transcript is spliced from 2 exons. Lineage: Eukaryota; Metazoa; Chordata; Aves; Passeriformes; Passeridae. The record is from RefSeq and is a predicted model, not a curated record.
GCCCGGGAUCCCCUGGAUUGGGAAAAGGAGUGCGGCGUCAUGGAGUCCGCCGCGUGAGCCAACGUCGCCGUGUCAGCCGGACUUUCCUUAGACAACUUCAGGAAUAGUGACUCUAGCAUCUCCCUGGGGAGUCCAUUCCAGUAUCUUGUCACCCUUUCUGUGAAGAAAUUCCUCUAGAUGUCGACUGUCCCCUUGCUGCAUCUCCUUUCAGAUAGUUGUAGAGAGUGAUAAGCCUUGCCAGGGAAGUUCCCCACCACAGGCUUCACAUCCAUGGUCUGGCAUCACAGAGUCACAGAACCAUUGGGGUUGGAAAGGACCUCUGGAGAUCAUCCAGUCCAAUGCCUCUGCUAAGUCAGGAUCACCCAGAGCAGGUGAUGCAGAACACACAGGUUUUGAACAGUUCCAGAGGGAGACACUCCACAGCCUCCCUGAGCAGCCUGUUCCAGUGCUCCACCACCAUCAAUAUAAAGAAGUUAUCCCUCAUGUUGAGGUGGAAUUUCUUGUGUUUUAACUUAAGGCCACUGGUCCUGGUCCUGUCACUAUGCACAACUGAAAAGAGUCUGGCAGCACCCUCUUGACACCUGUCUUUGAGAUAUUUAUACGUAUUGACAAGAUCCUUUUUAGUCUUCUCUAGACUAAACAGGCCCAGCUCCCACAGUCUGUCAUAAGAGAGAUGACUCCAGCAAUUGUGCAUGUGUGGCUGGACCCUCUCCAGUAGUUCCUUGUCUUUCUUGUACUGAGGGGUCCAGAACUAGACAUAGUGCUUCAGAUGUGGCCUCACUAUUUACAAGUUUAUUAUUUUUCAUGCUAGAAAACGUGAGCAUUAUGUUUCUUUCUCCCUUUUGUAGUGCAGGCCCCCUCUCAAAGCCCAUGGCUGUGCUUCUCCCUGCUGUCCCCAACAACUCGCCUCCUUUCUCCCAGCUGGUCAGUGCAGAGCUCUGUGAUGGGGCCCCUUAAGUGAACCAAUCCCCGAUGCCCCCAGCUGCCCCUGCCCAGCCAAACUACUGAAUUUUUUCCUGUCACUGCUGCCUGUGUAACAACCCUUGUUCUUUUUAUUUCUUCCACCUUGUGUGUUUUUCACUGUGGCUUUUUCUCCUCUGUUAUGUUACUGUGAUUUAGAAGCUACCCACACGCAGCUGCUUGCUGCUGGUCACUGGAUACCAUCUGUGUGCCCUUGCUGGAUCCCUCAGAGACGUUCUCCUGUAGCCGUGUUUUCCCUCACCUUUUUCAUGUAUUAUCAGUCUUUGUGUUUUCCGAGUCCUCUUCUGGGAGCCAAACACACACACCUCCCGGUCCCUAGCUCACGCAGUUGCUGCUGCCUUUGAGUAUAUACGUAAACCUUGUUCCUCAGUUCACAUUUCUGAGGCAGAGAUCAUUCACAGUCUACAAUUUCAGUUCCCCACAAGUUUGCCAGUGCGUUUGUGUUUACUCUGACGAGUGGGACUAAUCUCACAGCAUGGGGAAUGUGCAUGUCUGGCUCCAACAGAAGGCAAAGCAGUCAUUGCAGGAGCUGUGUUGCACAGCAGAGGGCAGGAGCAGAUUUAUGGGGGAAGAAGCCUGGCAUUCUCAUCAGUGCUACACGUGCUCACAGAGUGAUGCAAGAGAGGAGGAGCCUUGCUGCUUCAUGGUCCCAAUCACCACCACAACUGAACCUGAUGAGCCUACUAGCACCUGUAGAAAUACUGCUGGCCUUGCCUUCCCACCCUGCACUUUUAUGCCUUUUAUACUGAUUCUUCCCUGGAAUAUCCUCAGUCAACUAUUCUCUUUGGCCUUGUUCCUGUAAGACUAUGUUAAUAAUUAAUCUAUCCUUCUUUAUUGAUUAACAUUGUCUCCCUUGUUAGUAUUCCCCAGAGACAAGGUCUUGCCUACUACUUCUUAUGUGUCUGUAAAUUUAGUUUGCUCUUACAUCAUCUUUUCACUACACCAGAGUUGAGUGAUAAUUUGUACAAAAAAUAUUGAUCCUGUGAAAAUCGAAGCCUUUGUAACUAGUCAAAAUUAAUGAUAAUCCCAAAAUUACUCCAUCUGGUGGUGAUAAAAAUUCUCAGGGAGACGAUGAUUCAGAAGGCACUGCUGAAGAGCAGCAGCCUCUGUUCCUCCUACCAGUGAAUCAGAGAUGAAAAUUAGGGAAUGAUCAAGUAACUGUAAAAGAUGGUGGGGGAACUUCCAAAAAUUUUGUCCACUGUAUCUGGAAAAUUUGAACAGUUAAUCAGUUUGUGGAGAAAAGAUGGCAGGGGUGGGGGGGGGAAGCCCAUAUUAUUUAUCUGAACUAGCAACCCCAGCAUAUAAUUGAGAAGGAGGGGGAAAAAAGCAGAUUUAGGAGAAGGGGGUGUUUGGGUAAGACAGAGUUUCUUAGGAACUAAAAAGAAAGCUUAUAAUUGUAUUGCAGGAUGAAACUGCCAAUGUACCUGCAGAAAAAGUGAAGAGAACCGAGAUGAAAAAAGCACAGAACAAAACUGAGUGACUGCAAGCUCUUGAAAGUAAAAAUCAAUCUGCUUCAGAUUUAUCACAAUCUGCCAUCGAUAUAUGUGAAAUAUUCUAGAAUUGCUAGGCCAAAUGAUGAUUACAAGCAAGCAAAAUAUUUUAUUAAACAAAAAUACUGAAGUGAAAAUGAAUCACAGAAAGAUUAUUCCAAGAUAGAAACUGUAGAAAAUGCUGUUACAGCUAGCAUUUUAGGAUCAACUGAUCUAGAGAUACGAUCUCAUACGCUCUCAUGUGAGAUUUUUGGAGACAAACUAUGAUGAAAACCACAUCGCUGAGUUGUAUCAGGACUCAGCUAAAGUGAUUCAAAAGUGGCAGUUCAAGGUGCUCCAACAUUUGGUUACAUUUUGUGGAUCAAACAGGAGACCUUCAAAAAACAAACUUUACAAAAACAGGAGACCUACAAAAAACGAACAUGUGAGAAAAAGUAUUUUAGCUAAAAUAGUAUCGGCUUGCUUUCUUCAGUUAUUCUUUUGUAAUUCCAUAAUGGGAAGCAUAAACCUUAACCUGAAUUUAGUUGUAGCUGAAGAACUUCUGUUGAGAAAUUAAGCAGAUCCAAAGGCUGUACCACUGAGAGGGACCCUGAACUUAGUAAACACCUUUUCAGUUCUGAAAAGGGGUGAAAGUCAUGACCUCAAAAACAUCAAAGAAUAUACGUUGCUAAAGGAAAGUUCAUUAGCUACACAGCAUAGGAGUGAGGAAGAUCAUUAAAAUGGUUACUUGGGAAAAUUGUUUCCUAAAUUUUAUGUAAGUUUAAAGGCAGAAGAAUGACAUUUGCUCUCAAAAUGGCAGUGGAAAAGUUCUUCUAAAAGUCAUGGCCAGUGCUGCAUAAGUAAUAACAGGGCAUGUUGAGGAGAGGUGCUAGUAUCAUACUGAGAGAACUAAUCACAGAUCAUAAAUAUAAGUGAUCAGGCUAUAGUGAAGCAAUAUUUGUCUUGAUUACCAGAAACAGCAAGGGAAAAAAACCCCAUUGUUUUAGACAGUGAAGGAAAUCUGAUAGUUAAAAUUUCAUUUAGAAACAUUUGUUCAAAAAAAUGCUGUAUUUAAUUGCAGGACAUAAGGGCAAAAGCACUAAGUAAUUUUGAGAAUACACAUGUGUGUUAGCAAUUUCAUGGAGGAAAAUAGCAGCAUUAUGGAGUAGAGAGCCAAAAAUGUUGAGAGAGAGAUGAAUGGAAAAGAAACCAUCUCCAGAUACCUAGACAUUAGACUUACUGAAGAAUUAGAAACUUUUUAAGGGAUAUAAAAUAUACAAACUUUGAUAGGAGCCCAGAAAUAUUCAACCUAAGUCUGGUGCUGUUUUCAUCUCAUGUAUUACCAUGUUGUAUCAUGUGCCACAGAGCUGAUCUGUAAUAGGCUUUAAUGUCAAGGAAAAGAGGCUGCAGUGUCCUUUUCUCACCAUGACUGUAGCUUUUAAACUCAGCAACCCUAAUUACCUGGGCUUCAAGCCAUAUCACAAGCUUUUUACAACCUCCAGGAUGCCUCUUUCUGUAACACCCUGCAGAGUCCUACUGGACAGUAGUUGGAGAAGUGCUGCAUCAAGAAUCCCCUGCCCUCACUGUACAUGAUUCAAACAAGCUUUGCAGGAUGUUUGGAAAUUCAAAUUAAUAAGGCUGCCAAAAGCUCACCAAGAAAGGUUUGCCUGUUAGUCUUAGUCAAUAGCAAAUAUCUUGCUAGAAGAUAAGUAAGAGGUAGAAGUCACUAUAUCCCUUACUGGCUAUGUGCGAAAAAGGUGAUACCUUAAAUUUAUGCAUGGAUGUUAGAGAUUUCGACAAACUGUUUAUUCCUAAAGACAUCCUAUACACAGAAUUCAAGAGGACUUGAAUCCUUCAAGCCAUGAUGACAGAAAUAUUUUGACUUCUGCUAAGACAGUGGUCUUUGUAUUGUCUUUAAACAAUUAACACAAGUCAAAACAUUGUUGACAUGACCCAACAUUAGCACAUAAAUGUGUAAUGUAUCACAUUUAGCCUGGGAUGAAUCAGGACUAAAUUUGGCCCACUUUAGAAGUGUAGGUGCCAUCAUGCUAUCUUUGAUUAAUGCCUUGGCAGCUGCAAAAUUUUUAUUCAUUCUGGAUUUGAGUUUGAUUUUCUAGACCUCCUGGUCCAGCUGGUGCUCAGCAGGAGGAAAGUGGUGAGCAUACAUGGCAAGAUGUGGAAAGGCUGAACAAGGCACAGGCCUUCCUCUUUCUGCAACAGCUAGCUGCUAUUUCUGCUGAUGUCCUGGCAGGAGCCCAUUACCCACUAAGUUCUAGAUGUAAAAACUAAUUUUCUUUGUCUUUGAUCACAAUACAACUUAUCCCCAAGGAUUUCUAAGUGAACAAAGAAUAUAUCUGCCAAUAUUCGCUGAAUUUAUGAAUGAAUUUGUACUCCUUUGGGGCUUACUUCCAUCUCUACAGAAUGAAAUGGAAAAUGUCUCAAAUAUUUGAGACACUAAUUAUGGGAUCUCCCUCCUAGUUUGCUAAAGCUUGUUUACAACAAAAAAAAAAAAGAAAAAAAAAAAGAAA